UUGGAUUUCGGAAUCCUUCGCCAUCUUCGACAAUGGUGCAGUAAUGCCAUCUGACGAUCAAGCCAGCGAAUAGCUGAAAGGGUGUAAAAAUGAAGCUGGAGAUUGUCUUUCUAUCUUCGUUCGUUUCCAAUCUUCGAACGGAGAGUCGAGUCGAGUGUCGGGCCGACUGCCGCGACUGUGUGUAAUGUCGACAAGAAUGUUGACGUUUAAUUCAACUCGUCGGAAGCAACGAAUACGCAUCGUGCGAGUCUCGUGAAUAAUGUCAACGAAUUCCUUAUAACUUACUACACGCAGCCGUAAUAAUGUUACGUACCGUGGAGUUUACAUAAACCUGUAAUAUUCAUGAACGAACAAUCAUCGUACGCGCGAGGGCUUUGGCUCGAACUGUGACGCGCCAUAUUGGUUUUAAGAGAAUUGUUCAUAUUAGUGGGCUUUGGGUGAAUCUGUUUUACUGCAAAUGCACGUAGUAUAAUAAAGUUGAAACGAUGGAAGAGACUAAAAUCAUAUAUCACAUUGACGACGAGGAAACCCCCUACCUGGUGAAGCUUACCAUCUCACCGGAAAGGGUCACUCUUGCCGACUUCAAAAAUGUCUUGAAUCGGCCGAAUUAUAAGUAUUUCUUCAAAUCAAUGGACGAUGAUUUUGGUGUGGUGAAAGAAGAAAUUGUAGAUGAUGAUGCCCAUCUUCCCUGUUUUAAUGGACGAGUUGUUUCCUGGCUGGUGUCUGCCGAAGGCAGCAAUGUAUCGGAUGGUGCAUCACAGUGCACAGAUUCAGUGGCACAUAGUGAGGCAAAACAUGAUCGUGUUGAUCAUGUGACACCUGGUCACACAAAUCGUGGCCCACCCCCAUUGUCACAUGAUGAUACUCUAACUGAAACAGAAAGUAUUACAAGUAGUCGACAGGGGCAUCAUUUGCAUAAAAGUUCAAGACACCAUUCAGAUAAAUAUGAGAAAUACAAUAAAUACAAUGGACUUCGUAUAAAUGGUCAUUCGAAACACAGAUCGGGCCAUGGUUAUGAGACUGCUUCUAUUUUAAGUUCAGAUUUAGAGACAACAACAUUUUUAGAAUCAGAUGAUGAUGCUAGUAGCCGUAUAACAUCAACUACAGGCAGACAUACCAAUAUGAGUAGUACAGUUGACAGAGCAACUUUAGAGCGGCGUAGACCACAGAGGAGGAGGCGUCAUAGAUUGCCACCUAUGUCUAGAACAUCAUCCUUUAGUAGUAUCACAGACAGUACAAUGUCUUUGAACAUCAUAACAGUUUCAUUGAAUAUGGAUACUGUUAAUUUCCUUGGGAUUAGCAUUGUUGGGCAAAGUAACAAAGGUGGAGAUGGUGGAAUCUAUGUUGGUUCAAUAAUGAAAGGGGGAGCAGUUGCUUUAGAUGGCAGAAUAGAACCUGGUGACAUGAUUCUUCAAGUAAAUGACAUUAAUUUUGAAAAUAUGUCUAAUGACGAGGCAGUUAAAGUACUACGUGAAGUAGUUCAGAAACCAGGACCAAUCAAAUUAGUUGUUGCAAAGUGCUGGGAUCCAAAUCCAAAAGGUUAUUUCACAAUACCACGUACAGAACCUGUACGGCCUAUAGAUCCCGGUGCUUGGGUGGCACAUACAGCUGCUAUAAGGGGUGAAGGUUUUCCUCCACGCCCGCCAAGCGCCACGACAAUAACUUCAACAUCGAGCAGUCUUGCAAGCACACUGCCAGAUACAGAACGACCAUUGGAAGAACUUCAUCUUACGGUGAAUACCGAUAUGCCAACAGUAGUACGAGCGAUGGCUCGGCCUGACUCAGGGUUGGAAAUUCGUGAUCGUAUGUGGCUUAAAAUAGUAAUACCAAGUGCAUUUAUUGGAGCAGAUGUUGUGGAUUGGCUUAAUACUCACGUAGAAGGAUUUAUUGAUCGACGCGAUGCAAGAAAAUACGCAUCUCUUAUGCUAAAGGCUGGAUUUAUUAGGCAUACAGUGAACAAGAUAACAUUUUCUGAACAAUGUUAUUAUAUAUUCGGUGACCUGUGUUCAUCUAUGAGUAGCAUGAAACUAGAUUGCGAUACAGUCGGACCAUUACCUCCGCCGAAUGCCUGGGACAUGCCUUAUUCAGGGACAUAUGCACCUCAUUCUGCAACUGGUUACAGUCCAAUGCCAUUUAACUUCACUAACGAACCAACUGUAUAUGGUUAUCACCGAGAAGAAAGUGUUCAUAGCGGUUCAGGCGGCAGUAGCGCAGGUAGUGAACAUAUUUGCAAAGAACCUAUUCACGAUUUGAAAUCCUGUUCUUCAGCAUCUGAAUCUGAAUUGCAUAUUCCAUCAGUGCCAACUAUGCCAAGUAAAAAUUCUGGCAAUGGAAAUGGUUCGAAUGGAAAGAGGUCUAACGGCAGUCGCAGUCGUUCCAGUGGUUCUGAACAAUCUGUGCAGACAGGAACUGGCUCAGGAAAUCAACAGAACCAACAAGACUUAUCUGGAUUGUCUACGACAAUGGGGCAGCUAUUUCUUUAAAAUCGAGAGGAUAUUAUUUCGAAAUGUUAAAAGGUUCACUAAUUAUUGCUUUGCAAACACAUUCUUUAAGACUAAUCCGCUUUAAAUAAAAAGAAGGAGGAAAAACGGAAAAAAGUAUCUAUAUGCAUGUACAAAGAAAAUAUGCAAUACAAUUGUUAUUGUAUAUUGGGCAAUUAUUGGUGAAUCAUUUAAAUUGAGAUUGUCCAUGCGUAAAGGACAAAUUUUCAUUGUAUUCCUAUUGAUUCCAGUUAUUUGGUGAUGAACAAAAAGAAAUUGUUUAAAAUUAUGUUGUGUGGUAUUGCAUCACAAAGUUCGACAAUAUGUAAAUAGAUCGAAUUAUGCUCAUAUUAAAUGUGCCAUCUUAUCAGUGUUAGAAAGUACUGAAAAAGGAACUGCGACAUAUAAUUUAUAUAUACAAGCUUCCCAGGUGUAUGCAUUUCUUUACUGUUUAUGUUCAUUGAUGUCAUCUUAUCUAAUGAAUUAUUACGAAUUCUUACGAAUUAUCUUCUGCAUCUCACACGCACACACACACACACACACACACACAUACAAGCUUAUUUAAUUUCAACAAACGUUCAUUACAUUUAAUUGCGUCUUGCCGUUGCGUUAUUAUGAUAUAAAUUUUUAUUUAGCAUAUCACGUUGUAUUUAAAUAACGUUCUUUUUAUAAAAUGCCGCUAGAAAAUACUUGCAUUCGAUGCACAUAAAUGCAUUGGCGUCGUAACACUAUAAGAGUAAUUUCAAAUAUGGUGUGAUGUUUCUUCCUACCAAACAUUUCACGUUAAAAUGAAAAAAAAAAAAAUUAGUAGCGAUUUUUACGUUUCUUUUUCUAUCGAUUUUACUACUUUUUAUAUUUACACGAAGUAUUUACAUUGCUUCCUUAAUAUUUAUAAAACGUAUAUCAUAGAAAAUACUACCUACGUCUUUUUAUAUAACAUGCAACCAUGUUUGAAAAUUUCGUUGUCUAAUCGUGCAAUUUUCCAAAAUAACUGACUGAAACCACAUUUUAUUUCCCCCUUUUCUUCGGCAUCUUAUAAUUAUCGAUAAAUAGGCACUUUUUUAUACUGUCCCCCGUAGAGAAUAAUAUAACGGUAUUAUAAGAAAUUUUUUACCGAUUUGAUAAGCACAUAGUGCAUAGAUCGUAUAGGAAAGAUUUUGUUGGAAAAUUGCGCACUGGCAUUUAAUCGUUAAUUUCAAUGGAAAUGUUUUCAUUUCGCUGCAAAUGAUUAUGUAAUUCGAUAUUUAAGAAGGUAGUUUACACGAACUGGUUUAUCGAUAUCAUUAUGGUACCAAUCAUUAUAUAUUAUUCUGUAAAAUAUAUACAUAUUUUAUGUUGCAGACAGGUUGUACAGUAUGUUUGAGAAAGGCAAAAUGUGUAUUUACAAUGUAUUGUUUCAAAUUAAUAUUUACCAUAUUAAUAUUUACAAACCAAGAUCCAUUUAUUAUUUGAAUAAAAAAUGACAUCAAGGAUGAAAAAGAAUGAAAAUACAAAUUUUGCGACUCACAGACAUACUCCAAACUUGGUUUAUUUUAUUUUCUAUUUAUUGCGCCGCUCUAAAAGGACGUGCUGCUUUCUGUCUAACAAACGACUCAAUUCCCCUUUGCAACUUACGUUGUGCGCAUGUGGAUUACAUCAUGUCAAAGACGUAAUCGAGUCAUUUUUGUGCCUUGUGCUGCGCUGACGAUUGAUGCAGAGCGGCGUAUGCACGAGGAAACUCGUACACUGACUAGCGGUUUGGACAACAAUAGCAGAGACAAUAUCUAUGAAGAAGACAUUUUGGAGUACCAGUUUCUGCACAAGUGAAGAUAUUUGUUAAUGCAAUACGUAUACGUAAUGGUGGUACUAUAGGAGUUGAAAAAAGGAAAUUAAGGUAUAUUUCCACUUGACCUUGAAUUGGGUGGACGGAAGUAGCAAACAUGAGACAUAUAUAUAUUUAUACAUAUAUAUAUAUAUAUAUAUAUAUAUAUAACAGACGAAUUUUGAUUAAGCGUCAUAGAAAAUAAAGAAUCUAAACUAUAUAUAAUUUGUAAUGGCUAUACAUAAAAGAAGGAAAUAGGAUUAAGGCCAUCAAAUUUCCAUGUGGUAUUUAAUAUCAUUCGAAAACGUGAUCUAUAUAGGUUUCGGCAGGAAAAUAAGAAAUGAUGGCGAAAAAGCGUGCUUUUUUAACGCAGGGUGUAUGUAGAUUGAGAAAAAAGAAUUCUCGUUAAUAACAUAUAUGUGUUUUAUCGAUACUUCUUGUUCUACCUUUGUUUUUUUAUUUUAAAAUAAUCGCGAUAAUUAUGUAUCAUUUUCGAUUGUAUAUAUUUUCACACAGUUUGUCAGUUUAAACAAUAAUGGAUAUUUUCAGUUGGGCUUAAAGUUUUUCAUUGUUGAUCUUAAAAGUUUUUGAAAGUAAAAAAAUUCUUUUUUUUUCAACUGUUUCAUUUGUUACUUUUUUCAAAUAUUAAUUAUCAUGUUAUAAUAUGGCUGUAUUUUUAAUUAUACGGGUAUAUGAACAUCAAAUUUACGAAAUGCAAAAUGGAAACUAAGAUUUUGGUACUGAGGAUGGAACUGAGGUAAAGGAGCAAAAAGUGUCAGUAUAAUACGAGAUGAUAUUCGCAAAAUUCCUGAUUUAUUAGUACAACUUAUGACUGCAAAUACGUCUGUAAUGAAGUGUUAAUUCAUGCUAUGAAAAUUAAUUAGUAUGAAGCAUAUUAUACAAUUGUUGUAAGUAUUAUCGUUUCACCUGAAUUUUACGCUUAAAUGAAAAAGAAAAAUUGAAACUUUUGUAACUAUAAAUAACACAGAACACUUUUUAUCGAUCUUUAUAUGAAAAUAUUCUAUUGGAGUUUUCGCGUUAAUUCAAUCAAGCAGCUAUAGAAUAUUUAAAACGUAAGUGAUAAUAAUUUCACCAUUAUUCUUCUAGUUUAAACAAACACCAUGCGUCGUUGAAUUUUCUUUAUACUAAAUAACUGAGAACUCGAUGUAUGUACGAUUUUAUUUUUCCAUACUACUUUAACCGAUUACUCGUUAAGGGAAGGCAAUACGUAAAUAAAUUGUAAAGAUAGGAUUAUAAUAAUUGGUGAAACACUUUCUCCCCCGAUUCUGUGUGUAAGUUUAUACGAGUAAGUGUGAUGAUACUGCAUUGUCAUGUGCAUGCACGAGUCUCCUCCCUCACUAUUAGAAUUACGAAUAAAAAUGGAAAAAGGAAGAAUGGAAAAAUAUGAAGUAAACCUCGACGAGUCAAUAUGAAUCGAAUGAAAGUUUACUCAUUGAGACGCAUUCGAACGCUAUUCCGACUGAAGUAUUUUAACGUCAUUUAGAGUACCAUAGUACAAGGCGACAAGAUAGUCAAUCGAUAUCGCAUUUACAGACAGAUAGUUCAUUCCUUGUAUUUUUUAUCCCUUUGCGAGACAAAUGUUUGCGGACUUUUUUAUCAAGGCUACGACCGCGUACACGGUGUCGUCGAUACUCUAUUUGCGAUGUUCAACGAUUUUUACACUAUUUAUUAUAUAUUAUGCGAGACUAAGAGAUUUGUAAAAAGAAGAAAAGAAAGAGAAAACGCGAAGCUGAAGAAAAGAAAGAGUAAGAAAGAAAAUGGCGCAUUCGUUAGACCGAUAAAAUAAACGACUUCUUCAAUGUGUGUGUUUCGUGGAAACAUUGCGAGAUGAUAUGACAGAUUAUGUAUGUCGAGACGAUCUUCUCUACCGCCUUUUUUCUGUCGCGAAACUGACUGCGAAAAAGAAAGGAAACCAAAAUGUAAUGCGAACAAGUUUAUAUCCAUAGUAUACACGAUUACGUGGAUGUAACGAAUGAUCACAAUGGCUCAGAUUAUUCCGCAAGAUCAGAUAAAGAUCUACAGGAAGCGUAAGCUAAAAUAGAACGACGAAAGAAUUCAAUACAUGUAGUAGUGUGUGGAUAUACAGGGAAAUAGAUUGUAAAGAUUUUUAUGACUGUCUGAAA
This is an RNA transcript of Bombus terrestris (buff-tailed bumblebee), 6425 nucleotides long. It is a transcript of the gene named segment polarity protein dishevelled homolog DVL-3, with no coding region annotated. The record is from RefSeq and is a predicted model, not a curated record. The transcript has 11 exons. Lineage: Eukaryota; Metazoa; Arthropoda; Insecta; Hymenoptera; Apidae.